UAGUAGAUGCACCCUGAUUAAUGAGCCUUGACCAAUUUUGGUUAGGGCUUUUUUGU
This is a small RNA of Oscillatoriales cyanobacterium, 56 nucleotides long. It matches the Rfam family "Nitrogen stress-induced RNA 1". Lineage: Bacteria; Bacillati; Cyanobacteriota; Cyanophyceae; Oscillatoriales. The record is from Rfam.